Molecule: long non-coding RNA, 1254 nt
Organism: Glycine soja
Lineage: Eukaryota; Viridiplantae; Streptophyta; Magnoliopsida; Fabales; Fabaceae
Exons: 4
Source: RefSeq, a predicted model, not a curated record
CCUCAGGAAUAGGAAUCAGAAUCAAACAAUUCCACUCAUGGUUAGCUUCAACCAAUGGCAAAAUAAGGCUUUCCGUUAAACCUGUACAGCGUCGUCACAGCUGCUCAUUUUUCUCUAGCUCGCACACACCCAAAUCAACUAGGGCUUGCCUUUCUCAUUUCUCACUUUUACUGCACCGAUCGUUUCACUCUCAAACUAGCUUCAAUGGACUACAGCUCUGAAGAAGAUUCUGAUAUCAGCGAAUCUUAGAUUGAAGAGUACGCAGAGAAACGAUAUGAACAGUUAAGGGCUGGGAAAUACAAGGUUAAAAAUUUGAAUGGAACUCUUAGAUGUCCUUACUGUGCUGGGAAAAAAAACAAGAAUUCAAAUAUAAGGAUUUAUUGCAACAUGCAUCAGGAGUUGGUAAGAGUUCUGCUAACAGAAGUGCACAACAAAAGGCAAACCACCUUGCUCUAGGAAAGUAUUUGGAGACCGACCUAGCCUGUGAAGCAGAGCCAAUCCAGCGCCCAGCUCUACCUCAAGCUGUCAAUCAACCUUUACAUCAACAAGAUCUUUAUGUUUGAUUCCUGGAUGAACAAGAAAAGCUGAGUAGUGAAUUGGAGGAAAAAAAGCGGAAGCUUGAUUCCUGGAGUAGAGAUCUAAACAAACGUGAGGCCCUAACUGAUCAAGAGAAGAAGAAACUUGAAGAGGACAACAAGAAGAAAGAUCUGAGGAAUGAGUCACUCCUAUUGGCUUCAAAGGAAAAAAAGAUAGCCCAUGAGAGUGUCUUAAGGCUUGUUGAAGAGCAAAAGCGAGAGAAAGAGGAGGCCUAUAACAAGAUACUUCAGUUGGAAAAACAGCUAGAUGCCAAACAAAAGUUGGAAAUGGAAAUUGAAGAGUUAAAAGGGAAAUUGCAAGUUAUGAAGCAUCUUGGAGAUGAAGAUGAUGCAGCUGUUCAGAAUAAAACAGAAGAGAUGAAUGAUGAAUUGCAAGAAAAAGUAGAUAAUUUGGAAAAUAUGGAGGCCAUGAAUCAAAUCCUUGUUGUGAAGGAGCGUCAGAGUAAUGAUGAACUGCAGGAAGCUCGUAAAGAAUUAAUAAUAGUAUGACCUUGUUUACUUUCUCCCUAAUAAAAGUAUACCCCGUGGUUCCCUUUUCUCUAUCCAUAUAUAGAGAUUUGCUAAUUUACCCCGACCUUAUUUAGUAGUAUUUUAAUUUAGCAAACUAUACCUUGACCUUGGAUGCAUUUAAGAAAAUCCUAGUUAUAUCAUUCACUUA